Molecule: ribosomal RNA, 494 nt
Filed under: uncultured bacterium
Lineage: Bacteria
Description: bacterial SSU rRNA
Rfam family: Bacterial small subunit ribosomal RNA
Source: RNAcentral
CGCUGGCGGCGUGCCUAAUACAUGCAAGUCGAGCGGAAUGAUGAAGAAGCUUGCUUCUUCUGAUUUUAGCGGCGGACGGGUGAGUAACACGUGGGCAACCUACCUUGUAGAUUGGGAUAACUCCGGGAAACCGGGGCUAAUACCGAAUAAUCCAUUUUGCUUCAUGGCGAGAUGUUGAAAGACGGUUUCGGCUGUCACUACAAGAUGGGCCCGCGGCGCAUUAGCUAGUUGGUAGGGUAAUGGCCUACCAAGGCGACGAUGCGUAGCCGACCUGAGAGGGUGAUCGGCCACACUGGGACUGAGACACGGCCCAGACUCCUACGGGAGGCAGCAGUAGGGAAUCUUCCACAACGGACGAAAGUCUGAUGGAGCAACGCCGCGUGAGUGAAGAAGGUUUUCGGAUCGUAAAACUCUGUUGUAAGGGAAGAACACGUACGAGAGUAACUGCUCGUACCUUGACGGUACCUUAUUAGAAAGCCACGGCUAACUACGUG